ACGGAGGGUGCAAGCGUUGCUCGGAAUUAUUGGGCGUAAAGGGCAGGUAGGUUGUCUUGUUUGUCUAGGGUGAAAGCCCCGAGCUUAACUCGGGAAGUGCCUUAGAAACGGCGAGACUAGAGUCUUGGAGAGGGUCGUGGAAUUCCCGGUGUAGCGGUGAAAUGCGUAGAGAUCGGGAGGAACACCAGAGGCGAAGGCGGCGACCUGGACAAGAACUGACACUCAGCUGCGAAAGCGUGGGGAGCAAACAG
RNAcentral lists this ribosomal RNA (251 nucleotides) under uncultured prokaryote. RNAcentral describes it as "partial 16S rRNA". It matches the Rfam family "Bacterial small subunit ribosomal RNA", at positions 525 to 775 of the family's 1533-position model. The record is from RNAcentral.